This is a long non-coding RNA of Cygnus olor (mute swan), 460 nucleotides long. RefSeq lists it as uncharacterized. The record is from RefSeq and is a predicted model, not a curated record. Lineage: Eukaryota; Metazoa; Chordata; Aves; Anseriformes; Anatidae. The transcript is spliced from 4 exons.
AAUCCCAUACCUAGAGUGAAAGGAGUGUAUCCAUUUGCCUCUCUUCAGGUGGGCUCUGCUCCUGCUAGAAGCACCAUUUCUUUGGAUACAGAUUCUCAGGUUGUUUCUGGGUCAUGGAAACUGCAGCAGUGCCCAAGCAUCAAAUACUGUGGUGGACCAUGGGUAAGAUCAACUAGCAAUUUCUUGUACAUAACUAUCUUUCAAGGCUUAUAUUGAAAACUUUGCUGCACUGGAAUACUUAAAAGUGUCAGCAUGUUUCUAGGAUCCUCUCUGGAAAUUUACACUAUUCAAAAACACUGAGUAUCUUAAGUUUUAAAACAGAAGUGCAUACAAAAUCAUAUGUCUAACAUGUCCUUGGACCCUAAUAUCACUGAAAAUAACACAAGUUUUAGCAAUCACAGCUGAUGAUACAGUAGAGUGGAGAAAAUGACAUACAGUACAGAAAAGAAAGCAGAGGAGC